GAUGAACGCUGGCGGCGUGCCUAAUACAUGCAAGUCGAGCGAACAGACGAGGAGCUUGCUCCUUUGACGUUAGCGGCGGACGGGUGAGUAACACGUGGGUAACCUACCUAUAAGACUGGGAUAACUUCGGGAAACCGGAGCUAAUACCGGAUAAUAUUUCGAACCGCAUGGUUCGAUAGUGAAAGAUGGCUCUGCUAUCACUUAUAGAUGGACCUGCGCCGUAUUAGCUAGUUGGUAAGGUAACGGCUUACCAAGGCAACGAUACGUAGCCGACCUGAGAGGGUGAUCGGCCACACUGGAACUGAGACACGGUCCAGACUCCUACGGGAGGCAGCAGUAGGGAAUCUUCCGCAAUGGGCGAAAGCCUGACGGAGCAACGCCGCGUGAGUGAUGAAGGUCUUCGGAUCGUAAAACUCUGUUAUUAGGGAGGAACAAACGUGUAAGUAACUGUGCACGUCUUGACGGUACCUAAUCAGAAAGCCACGGCUAACUACGUG
Molecule: ribosomal RNA, 497 nt
Filed under: uncultured bacterium
Lineage: Bacteria
Description: partial 16S ribosomal RNA
Rfam family: Bacterial small subunit ribosomal RNA
Source: RNAcentral